RNAcentral lists this ribosomal RNA (497 nucleotides) under uncultured bacterium. RNAcentral describes it as "partial 16S ribosomal RNA". It matches the Rfam family "Bacterial small subunit ribosomal RNA", at positions 28 to 507 of the family's 1533-position model. The record is from RNAcentral.
GGUGAACGCUGGCGGCAUGCCUAAUACAUGCAAGUCGAGCGGACAGACAGUGAGCUUUCUCCUCUGCCGGUAGCGGCUGACGGGCGGGUGACGCAUAGAUCGCAUUCCUAUAAUACUUGGGUAACUACGGGGGGCCGGAGCCACUACCACCGCAUAUAUCGUACGGCAUAAAUCAAUGGUGAAUCACACCUUUGCUGUCACUUAUAGCUGUAUCCGCACCGCAUAAGCUAGUUGGUAAGGUAACGGCUAACCAAGGAGACGAUGCGUAGCUGACCUGAGAGGAUGAUCGGCCACACUGGAACUGAGACACGGUCCAGACUCCUACGGGAGGCAGCAGUAGCGAAUCUUCCGCAAUGGGCGAAAGCCUGACCCAGCCAAACAGCGUGAGUGAAGAAGGCCUUCGGAUCGUAAAGCUCUUUUAUUAGGGAAGAAAAACUGUCGACGUAAAACUGGAUGUUUUGACGGUACCUAAACAAAAAGCCACGGCUAACUUCGUG